AACGAACGCUGGCGGCAUGCCUAACACAUGCAAGUCGAACGAGACCUUCGGGUCUAGUGGCGCACGGGGGCGUAACGCGUGGGAACCUGCCCUUAGGUUCGGAAUAACUCCCCGAAAGGGGUGCUAAUACCGGAUAAUGUCUUCGGACCAAAGAUUUAUCGCCUUUGGAUGGGCCCGCGUUGGAUUCGCUGGUUGGUAGGGUAAAAGCCUACCAAGGAGACGAUGCAUAGCUGGUCUGAGAGGAUGAUCAGCCACACUGGGACUGCGACACGGCCCAGAAUCCGACGGGAGGCAGCAGUGGGGAAUAUUGGACGAUGGGCGAAAGCCUGAUACAGCAAUGCCGCGUGAGUGAUGAAGGCGUUAGGGUUGUAAAGCUCUUUUAGCCGGGAUGAUAAUGACAGUACCGGGAGAAUAAGCGCCGGCUAACUCCGUG
RNAcentral lists this ribosomal RNA (433 nucleotides) under uncultured bacterium. Its description in RNAcentral is "partial 16S ribosomal RNA". It matches the Rfam family "Bacterial small subunit ribosomal RNA", at positions 29 to 507 of the family's 1533-position model. The record is from RNAcentral.